GUAGGUGAACCUGCGGAAGGAUCAUUACAGAGUUCAUGCCCUACCGGGUAGAUCUCCCACCCUUUGUCAAUAUCAUCAUCUGUUGCUUUGGCGGACCGCAGCCUCGCUGCCUAGGUUCUCGACCCGGUGCGUCCGCCAGAGGACCCCCCAACCCUGAAUAUUAGUGUCGUCUGAGUACUAUAAAAUAGUUAAAACUUUCAACAACGGAUCUCUUGGUUCUG
This 221-nucleotide unclassified non-coding RNA is filed under the name rhizosphere metagenome. Its description in RNAcentral is "partial ribosomal RNA internal transcribed spacer region". The record is from RNAcentral.